Molecule: transfer RNA, 87 nt
Filed under: Candidatus Kerfeldbacteria bacterium
Lineage: Bacteria; Candidatus Kerfeldiibacteriota
Description: tRNA-Ser
Rfam family: tRNA
About the family: Transfer RNA (tRNA) molecules are approximately 80 nucleotides in length.
Source: RNAcentral
GGAGAGGUGGCUGAGUGGUCGAAAGCACCUCACUGCUAACGAGGCGUUCUGUAAAAGGAACCGCGGGUUCGAAUCCCGCCCUCUCCG